This 500-nucleotide ribosomal RNA is filed under the name uncultured bacterium. RNAcentral describes it as "partial 16S ribosomal RNA". It matches the Rfam family "Bacterial small subunit ribosomal RNA", at positions 30 to 523 of the family's 1533-position model. The record is from RNAcentral.
AUUGAACGCUGGCGGCAGGCCUAACACAUGCAAAUCGAGCGGAUGAGAGGAGCUUGCUCUUCGAUUCAGCGGCGGACGGGUGAGUAAUGCCUAGGAAUCUGCCUGGUAGUGGGGGACAACGUUUCGAAAGGAACGCUAAUACCGCAUACGUCCUACGGGAGAAAGCAGGGGACCUUCGGGCCUUGCGCUAUCAGAUGAGCCUAGGUCGGAUUAGCUUGUUGGUGAGGUAAUGGCUCACCAAGGCGACGAUCCGUAACUGGUCUGAGAGGAUGAUCAGUCACACUGGAACUGAGACACGGUCCAGACUCCUACGGGAGGCAGCAGUGGGGAAUAUUGGACAAUGGGCGAAAGCCUGAUCCAGCCAUGCCGCGUGUGUGAGGAAGGUCUUCGGAUUGUAAAGCACUUUAAGUUGGGAGGAAGGGCAGCUAGCGAAUACCUGGUUGUUUUGACGUUACCGACAGAAUAAGCACCGGCUAACUCUGUGCCAGCCGCCGCGGUAA